AAUGAACGCUGGCGGCAUGCCUAACACAUGCAAGUCGAACGAAGGCUUCGGCCUUAGUGGCGCACGGGUGCGUAACGCGUGGGAAGCGGCACUUGGGUUCGGAAUAACAGUUAGAAAUGACUGAUAAUACCGGAUGAUGUCGUAAGACCAAAGAUAUAUCGCCCUAGGAUGAGCCCGCGUAGGAUUAGCUAGUUGGUGUGGUAAAGGCCUACCACGGCGACGAUCCUUAGCUGGUCUGAGAGGCUGAGCAGCCACUCUUGGACGAGGACACGGCCCGGACUCCUACGCGAGGCAGCAGUGCGUGAUAGUGGACAACCGCCUAAGUCCUGAUGCACUACUGCCGGUUGAGUGAUGUUGGUCUUAGAGUUGUAAAGCUCUUUUACCCGGGAUCAUAAUGACGGUACCGGGAGAAUAAGCUCCGGCUAACUUCGUG
RNAcentral lists this ribosomal RNA (433 nucleotides) under uncultured bacterium. Its description in RNAcentral is "partial 16S ribosomal RNA". It matches the Rfam family "Bacterial small subunit ribosomal RNA", at positions 29 to 507 of the family's 1533-position model. The record is from RNAcentral.